Oncorhynchus keta (chum salmon) is the source of this 1067-nucleotide long non-coding RNA. RefSeq lists it as uncharacterized. Lineage: Eukaryota; Metazoa; Chordata; Actinopteri; Salmoniformes; Salmonidae. The transcript has 6 exons. The record is from RefSeq and is a predicted model, not a curated record.
GUUGUUGUUGUUUAGGUGGGUCUGGGGUAAUGUUGUUGUUGUUGUUGUUUAGGUGGGUCUGGGUCUGGGAUAUCUGGAGCUCCCUCAAAUCAACUACAAGCUGUCAGUGGAACACAAAGAGAAGGUCAAACUGGACAAACUGCCGGAUCUACGACUGCUCCAGACCCUGCUGGACACUAAAGGAGUGUACAUCCUGGACUGUCUGUCUGAUGUGUUUAUCUGGAUCGGGAGGAAGUCUCCUCGUCUGGUGAGAGCAGCCGCCCUGAAGCUAGGACAGGAAGUCUGCACUAUGCUGCACCGCCCCAAACACGCUACUGUUACCAGGAACCUGGAGGGGACAGAGUGUCAGGUAGGCAGAGACCCUCCUGGAGGUUUUAACUCCAACCCUAUUCCUGGAGAGAGACCCUCCUGGAGGUUUUAACUCCAACCCUGUUCCUGGAGAAACACCCUCCUGGAGGUUUUAACUCCAACCCUGUUCCUGGAGAGAUACCCUCCUGUAGGUUUUAACUCCAACCCUGUUCCUGGAGAGCUACCCUCCUGUAGGUUUUAACUCCAACCCUGUUCCUGGAGAGCUACCCUCCUGUAGGUUUUAACUCCAACCCUGUUCCUGGAGAGCUACCCUCCUGUAGGUUUUAACUCCAACCCUGUUCCUGGAGAGCUACCCUCCUGUAGGUUUUAACUCCAACCCUGUUCCUGGAGAGCUACCCUCCUGUAGGUUUUAACUCCAACCCUGUUCCUGGAGAGAGACCCUCCUGUAGGUUUUAACUCCAACCCUGUUCCUGGAGAGAGACCCUCCUGGAGGUUUUAACUCCAACCCUGUUCCUGGAGAGAGACCCUCCUGGAGGUUUUAACUCCAACCCUGUUCCUGGAGAGAGACCCUCCUGUAGGUUUUAACUCCAACCCUGUUCCUGGAGAGAGACCCUCCUGUAGGUUUUAACUCCAACCCUGUUCCUGGAGAGAGACCCUCCUGUAGGUUUUAACUCCAACCCUGUUCCUGGAGAGAUACCCUCCUGUAGGUUUUAACUCCAACCCUGUUCCUGGAGAGAGACCCUCCUGGAGGUUUUAAC